UACGUAGGGUGCAGGCGUUAAUCGGAAUUACUGGGCGUAAAGCGUGCGCAGGCGGUUUGCUAAGACAGGUGUGAAAUCCCCGGGCUUAACCUGGGAACUGCGCUUGUUACUGGCAGGCUUGAGUGUGGCAGAGGGGGGUGGAAUUCCACGUGUAGCAGUGAAAUGCGUAGAGAUGUGGAGGAACACCGAUGGCGAAGGCAGCCCCCUGGGCUAACACUGACGCCUCAUGCACGAAAGCGUGGGGAGCAAACAGGG
This 255-nucleotide ribosomal RNA is filed under the name uncultured bacterium. RNAcentral's name for it is "partial 16S ribosomal RNA". It matches the Rfam family "Bacterial small subunit ribosomal RNA", at positions 524 to 777 of the family's 1533-position model. The record is from RNAcentral.